UUAAUAUACACCUUAUAUUUUCUACACACACCCCACAUUUCUCAAAUCUUAUAACACUCAUUUUUUAUUUUGCCGAAUGAUUUCAAACUAUCUGAACAUUAGUUUGCCGAAUGAUUUCAAAAAAAUGUUUAGGUUCAUUUGAACAUUUUUCAAUAACAAUAAUAAUGAUUUCAAAGCUUUCGAAACAUCAAUUUCGUGUUCCAUUCGUCAAAAAUUAUUUUUCUCAAUCAACAUGUUUGUAGUUUCAUUGCUUUGGGUUUUAGGGAUUCUAAAAUGGAAUUAGAAUUUUCGAUUUGGGAUUUUUGAAAAUCGGAUUAGGCUUUUCGAUUUAGGGAUUUUAAAAUUUAGUGUCUUCAAUUUGGGGGUUCUAAAAUCGAAUUAUGGUUUUUAAUUUUGUUUGUACCAUAUUUAGGGCCUCUGUAUUUAGAUCUCGUAUAAAUACUCGAGUGACUCAAAUGUAAUUACGUAAUAAAUGAAGGGGCAGAUAUGUAAUAAGUAAGGAGCUCUUAUUCUAUACAAUGACUCAUCACUCUCC
This 535-nucleotide long non-coding RNA is filed under the name Malus domestica (apple). Its description in RNAcentral is "long non-coding RNA (MDOM_LNC000888)". The record is from RNAcentral. Lineage: Eukaryota; Viridiplantae; Streptophyta; Magnoliopsida; Rosales; Rosaceae.